AUAUGCAGGCCAACACUGCGGCUGUGCCCUCGGGCCAGUCUGCUGAGGCUGAAGUAUUUUUCACCCAUGUCUUUUGCGCACUUGUUGUUUCCUGGGCGGGUUCGCUCGCCAUCAGGACCACACCAUAAACCUUUUUUAUGCAGUUGCAAUCAGCGUCAGUAUCACAAAUGUAUAAUCAUUUACAACUUUCAACAACGGAUCUCUUGGUUCUGGCAUCGAUGAAGAACGCAGCGAAAUGCGAUACGUAGUGUGAAUUGCAGAAUUCAGUGAAUCAUCGAAUCUUUGAACGCACAUUGCGCCCUUUGGUAUUCCAAAGGGCAUGCCUGUUCGAGCGUCAUUUGUACCCUCAAGCUUUGCUUGGUGUUGGGCGUUUUUGUCUUGUGCAGCAAGACUCGCCUUAAAACGAUUGGCAGCCGGCCUACUGGUUUCGGAGCGCAGCACAUUUUUGCGCUUGCAACCAGCACAAGAGGCCGGCACUCCAUCAAGUCCUCUUUCUCACAUUU
This 503-nucleotide small RNA is filed under the name Curvularia micropus. Its description in RNAcentral is "eukaryotic LSU rRNA". The stretch from base 184 to 337 matches the Rfam family "5.8S ribosomal RNA". Lineage: Eukaryota; Fungi; Ascomycota; Dothideomycetes; Pleosporales; Pleosporaceae. The record is from RNAcentral.